This 466-nucleotide ribosomal RNA is filed under the name uncultured bacterium. RNAcentral's name for it is "partial 16S ribosomal RNA". It matches the Rfam family "Bacterial small subunit ribosomal RNA", at positions 29 to 507 of the family's 1533-position model. The record is from RNAcentral.
ACGAACGCUGGCGGCGUGCUUAACACAUGCAAGUCGAACGGAAAGGCCUCUUUCGGGGGGUACUCGAGUGGCGAACGGGUGAGUAACACGUGAGUAACCUGCCCUUGACUUUGGGAUAACUUCAGGAAACUGGGGCUAAUACCGGAUAGGAGCUCCUGCUGCGUGGUGGGGGUUGGAAAGUUUCGGCGGUUGGGGAUGGACUCGCGGCUUAUCAGCUUGUUGGUGGGGUAGUGGCUUACCAAGGCUUUGACGGGUAGCCGGCCUGAGAGGGUGACCGGUCACAUUGGGACUGAGAUACGGCCCAGACUCCUACGGGAGGCAGCAGUGGGGAAUAUUGCACAAUGGGUGGAAGCCUGAUGCAGCAACGCCGUGUGCGGGAUGACGGCCUUCGGGUUGUAAACCGCUUUCGCUCAUGACGAAGCUUUGUGUGACGGUAGUGGGUAAAGAAGCACCGGCUAACUACGUG